GUCUGUGAGGGUGGUCCGGCCAGACAGCUGUCACCCCAUUGGUUGCCAGGCUUGGCUUGGCAGGUCUGGCCAUCCAGGUCUGUGUGUCCUUCCUCCCUCGCCAUGCCACGCGCCUUCCCCCUGAAGCUGCAUGCGUGGUCACAGAGAACCCCCACGCUGGUAGAAGGACGCUCCCUCGGUCGAAGUUGACGAGCAGCUGCACUUCCCUGCUGGAGCCGCCAAGCACGCUCUCAAAAAUGGCAUCAAUCUCUUUGAUAGAACUUUGAAAAUAAUUUGACAUUUCGAGUACUUUCCAAACAGAUUUCUU
Molecule: small nuclear RNA, 307 nt
Filed under: Octodon degus (degu)
Lineage: Eukaryota; Metazoa; Chordata; Mammalia; Rodentia; Octodontidae
Description: 7SK RNA (ENSODEG00000023110.1)
Rfam family: 7SK RNA
About the family: 7SK was discovered as an abundant small nuclear RNA in the mid-70s but a possible function has only recently been suggested. Two independent studies have found that 7SK RNA binds the CDK9/cyclin T complex (known as elongation factor P-TEFb).
Source: Rfam by way of RNAcentral